UCCCUGGUGGUCUAGCGCCUAAUGGUCCUGUGCUCUCACCACUACGGCCUGGGUUCAAUUCCCAGGCAGGGAA
Molecule: non-coding RNA, 73 nt
Organism: Pangasianodon gigas (Mekong giant catfish)
Lineage: Eukaryota; Metazoa; Chordata; Actinopteri; Siluriformes; Pangasiidae
Source: the annotation of a GenBank genome assembly